This 253-nucleotide ribosomal RNA is filed under the name uncultured bacterium. RNAcentral describes it as "partial 16S ribosomal RNA". It matches the Rfam family "Bacterial small subunit ribosomal RNA", at positions 524 to 776 of the family's 1533-position model. The record is from RNAcentral.
UACGAAGGGGGCUAGCGUUGUUCGGAAUCACUGGGCGUAAAGCGCACGUAGGCGGCCUGAUAAGUAGGGGGUGAAAUCCUGCGGCUUAACCGCAGGGCUGCCUUCUAAACUGUCGGGCUAGAGCACGGUAGAGGCAGAUGGAAUUCCCGGUGUAGUGGUGAAAUGCGUAGAGAUCGGCAGGAACACCCAGGGGGAAACCAGUCGACUGGGCAUCUACUGACGCUGAGGUGCGAGAGCGUGGGGAGCGAACCGG